AUUGCAGCAAUCCAGCUACAUUAUAACCAAUUUCUAGCUGUUUAAUUAAGGAAGCUGCUUUUGCUGUUUCCUUGACUCCAGACUCUCCUCUCCUAUAUGUAUAGCAGGCAAAUCUUUUAAGCCAGGGCUUGUGUCUGGCUAGAUUUUAUUCCAUGGAAAAUAACAUGCGUACCCGAUGAAUAUUUGGCUUACAACAGAAGCAAGGUUUUGGAAAGAGUUCGGAGGCUGAAGAAGCCAGCAGACACUCUGCUAUAGAGAGGAAGGUUAAAGCAAUCUGUGCGACAUAUUUCAUUAGUCAAAGCAACUUCGCUGGCUGGCCUUUCUCAACUCAGAAUAAAAAUAAGACCGCUAAAGCCAUUUCCCAUCCAAAGAUGCAUAAAUCUACAAAAAGAAGUUCAGGAAAGAAAGCGAUUUGAGGUGUGUGUGGCUCAUGUGGCUUUGUCCCCGCAAGCAAUAUGCUUUCAAAAGUAAUGGCUUUACUGGGAUAUCACUAAUAUAUGAUAAAGCUCACCCUUUUAAAUCACACACUUCAAUGGCUCUUACUAUAUUCGCUUGUACGGUUACUACCAGGACCUACACGUAAAGCAAUUUAUCACACCUCAAAAAACGAAAAUAAAAAUCACUGUAUCCAUUAAGCACUCUGUGUUCCUCCUUUUACCUUGCCUCUGGCAACCACCGGCCCACUUUCUGUCUUGAGUAUUUUGGUAAUUCAUGCAAGUAGACAUAUAUAAACCUUAUGGCUUUUGGCAUCCGAUUGGGGGGGGGGCAUUGUGUUUACACUUGCAGCAGGUCUCAGUACUGCAUUCUUGUGGGCUGAAUAAUAUUCCACUAAUGGAUCUGUUGAUCGACAUUUAGAAUAUUUCUACAAUUCGGCCAUAAAAAUGAAUGUUGAGAAUAUUCAUAUGCAAGCUAGUUUUUAGACACAUUUUAACUUUUCUUGGAUAUAACCUAGAAGGAGAAUUUCUGGGACUCUAUUUGUU
Molecule: small RNA, 980 nt
Filed under: Rattus norvegicus (Norway rat)
Lineage: Eukaryota; Metazoa; Chordata; Mammalia; Rodentia; Muridae
Description: uncharacterized LOC108350783
Source: RNAcentral